This 258-nucleotide long non-coding RNA is filed under the name Mytilus galloprovincialis (Mediterranean mussel). Lineage: Eukaryota; Metazoa; Mollusca; Bivalvia; Mytilida; Mytilidae. The record is from RNAcentral.
UAAUGAUAGAAAAAGGAAGACAUUUAAAAAUACCUAGAGAAAAAAGACUAUCCACACCCUGUAAUACAAUGGAGAAUGAAGCCCAUUUUAUUUCAUACUGUAAAAAAAAUGCUAAACUAAGAUAUAACUUUAUAGGAAAUGUAAUUAAACAUAUGCCAGAUAUUAUGUCCUGGCAAAAACAAUGAAAAAAUUAAAUAUCUUCUUAGCCCAUCAACCCUCAAAGAAAUAGAAAGCUUAUGGUCCUAUUUUAAACAGGCA